This 1129-nucleotide ribosomal RNA is filed under the name Stenotrophomonas maltophilia. RNAcentral describes it as "bacterial SSU rRNA". It matches the Rfam family "Bacterial small subunit ribosomal RNA", at positions 80 to 1185 of the family's 1533-position model. The record is from RNAcentral. Lineage: Bacteria; Pseudomonadati; Pseudomonadota; Gammaproteobacteria; Lysobacterales; Lysobacteraceae.
UCUUAUGGCUGGCGAGUGGCGGACGGGUGAGGAAUACAUCGGAAUCUACUUUUUCGUGGGGGAUAACGUAGGGAAACUUACGCUAAUACCGCAUACGACCUACGGGUGAAAGCAGGGGAUCUUCGGACCUUGCGCGAUUGAAUGAGCCGAUGUCGGAUUAGCUAGUUGGCGGGGUAAAGGCCCACCAAGGCGACGAUCCGUAGCUGGUCUGAGAGGAUGAUCAGCCACACUGGAACUGAGACACGGUCCAGACUCCUACGGGAGGCAGCAGUGGGGAAUAUUGGACAAUGGGCGCAAGCCUGAUCCAGCCAUACCGCGUGGGUGAAGAAGGCCUUCGGGUUGUAAAGCCCUUUUGUUGGGAAAGAAAUCCAGCCGGCUAAUACCUGGUUGGGAUGACGGUACCCAAAGAAUAAGCACCGGCUAACUUCGUGCCAGCAGCCGCGGUAAUACGAAGGGUGCAAGCGUUACUCGGAAUUACUGGGCGUAAAGCGUGCGUAGGUGGUUGUUUAAGUCUGUUGUGAAAGCCCUGGGCUCAACCUGGGAACUGCAGUGGAAACUGGACAACUAGAGUGUGGUAGAGGGUAGCGGAAUUCCCGGUGUAGCAGUGAAAUGCGUAGAGAUCGGGAGGAACAUCCAUGGCGAAGGCAGCUACCUGGACCAACACUGACACUGAGGCACGAAAGCGUGUGGAGCACACAGGAUUAGAUACCCUGGUAGUCCACGCCCUAAACGAUGCGAACUGGAUGUUGGGUGCAAUUUGGCACGCAGUAUCGAAGCUAACGCGUUAAGUUCGCCGCCUGGGGGAGUACGGUCGCAAGACUGAAACUCAAAGGAAUUGACGGGGGCCCGCACAAGCGGUGGAGUAUGUGGUUUAAUUCGAUGCCACGCGAAGAACCUUACCUGGCCUUGACAUGUCGAAGAACUUUCCACGAGAUGGAAUUGGUGGCCUUCGGGGAACUCCGAACACAAGGGGCUGCAUGGCUGUUCUUCAGCUCCGUGUCCUUAAAAUGUUGGGGUUAAGUCCCCGCACCGACCUCCACCCCUGGGCCUUAGUUGGCCACCACGGAAAGGGUGGGGAACUCUAAGGGGAACCGCCCGGGGGACAAACCCGGAAGGAAAGCGAGGAGAU